GAUGAAGAACGUAGCGAAAUGCGAUAAGUAAUGUGAAUUGCAGAAUUCAGUGAAUCAUCGAAUCUUUGAACGCACAUUGCGCCCGCCAGUAUUCUGGCGGGCAUGCCUGUUCGAGCGUCAUUUCAACCAUCAAGCCCCCGGGCUUGCGUUGGGGCCCUGCGGCUGCCGCAGGCCCCUAAAAGCAGUGGCGGGCUCGCUGUCACACCGAGCGCAGUAGCGAUAUUCGCUCCGGGCGUCGGCGGCGGGCACCGGCCGUGAAUCCCCCCAUUUCUCAAGGUUGACCUCGGAUCAGGUAGGAAUACCCGCUGAACUUAAGCAUAUCAAUAAGCGGAGGA
RNAcentral lists this unclassified non-coding RNA (335 nucleotides) under soil metagenome. RNAcentral describes it as "partial contains 5.8S ribosomal RNA, internal transcribed spacer 2, and large subunit ribosomal RNA". The stretch from base 1 to 120 matches the Rfam family "5.8S ribosomal RNA", at positions 35 to 154 of the family's 154-position model. The record is from RNAcentral.